UACGUAGGGUGCAAGCGUUGUCCGGAAUUAUUGGGCGUAAAGAGCUCGUAGGCGGUCUGUCGCGUCUGCUGUGAAAACUCGGGGCUUAACCCCGGGCCUGCAGUGGGUACGGGCAGACUAGAGUGCGGUAGGGGAGACUGGAAUUCCUGGUGUAGCGGUGAAAUGCGCAGAUAUCAGGAGGAACACCGGUGGCGAAGGCGGGUCUCUGGACCACAACUGACACUGAGAGACGAAAGCCAGGGGAGCAAACGGG
Molecule: ribosomal RNA, 253 nt
Filed under: uncultured bacterium
Lineage: Bacteria
Description: partial 16S ribosomal RNA
Rfam family: Bacterial small subunit ribosomal RNA
Source: RNAcentral